AAACCGGGAGAUAGCUGGUUCUCCCCGAAAGCUAUUUAGGUAGCGCCUCGUGAACUCAUCUUCGGGGGUAGAGCACUGUUUCGGCUAGGGGGUCAUCCCGACUUACCAACCCGAUGCAAACUACGAAUACCGAAGAAUGUUAUCACGGGAGACACACGGCGGGUGCUAACGUCCGUCGUGAAGAGGGAAACAACCCAGACCGCCAGCUAAGGUCCCAAAGUCAUGGUUAAGUGGGAAACGAUGUGGGAAGGCCCAGACAGCCAGGAUGUUGGCUUAGAAGCAGCCAUCAUUUAAAGAAAGCGUAAUAGCUCACUGGUCGAGUCGGCCUGCGCGGAAGAUGUAACGGGGCUAAACCAUGCACCGAAGCUGCGGCAGCGACACUAUGUGUUGUUGGGUAGGGGAGCGUUCUGUAAGCCGUUGAAGGUGGCCUGUGAGGGUUGCUGGAGGUAUCAGAAGUGCGAAUGCUGACAUAAGUAACGAUAAUGCGGGUGAAAAACCCGCACGCCGGAAGACCAAGGGUUCCUGUCCAACGUUAAUCGGGGCAGGGUGAGUCGACCCCUAAGGCGAGGCCGAAAGGCGUAGUCGAUGGGAAACAGGUUAAUAUUCCUGUACUCGGUGUUACUGCGAAGGGGGGACGGAGAAGGCUAUGUUGGCCGGGCGACGGUUGUCCCGGUUUAAGCAUGUAGGCGGAUGUUCCAGGUAAAUCCGGAAUGUUAUCAACGCUGAGGUGUGAUGACGAGGCACUACGGUGCUGAAGUGACAAAUGCCCUGCUUCCAGGAAAAGCCUCUAAGCAUCAGGUAACAUCAAAUCGUACCCCAAACCGACACAGGUGGUCAGGUAGAGAAUACCAAGGCGCUUGAGAGAACUCGGGUGAAGGAACUAGGCAAAAUGGUGCCGUAACUUCGGGAGAAGGCACGCUGAUAUGUAGGUGAAGUGGUUUACCCAUGGAGCUGAAAUCAGUCGAAGAUACCAGCUGGCUGCAACUGUUUAUUAAAAACACAGCACUGUGCAAACACGAAAGUGGACGUAUACGGUGUGACGCCUGCCCGGUGCCGGAAGGUUAAUUGAUGGGGUUAUCCGUAAGGAGAAGCUCUUGAUCGAAGCCCCGGUAAACGGCGGCCGUAACUAUAACGGUCCUAAGGUAGCGAAAUUCCUUGUCGGGUAAGUUCCGACCUGCACGAAUGGCGUAAUGAUGGCCAGGCUGUCUCCACCCGAGACUCAGUGAAAUUGAACUCGCUGUGAAGAUGCAGUGUACCCGCGGCAAGACGGAAAGACCCCGUGAACCUUUACUAUAGCUUGACACUGAACACUGGUCCUUGAUGUGUAGGAUAGGUGGGAGGCUUUGAAGUGUGGACGCCAGUCUGCAUGGAGCCAUCCUUGAAAUACCACCCUUUAAUGGCUGGUGUUCUAACGUGGGCCCCUAAUCGGGGUUGCGGACAGUGUCUGGUGGGUAGUUUGACUGGGGCGGUCUCCUCCUAAAGAGUAACGGAGGAGCACGAAGGUCAGCUAAUCCUGGUCGGACAUCAGGAGGUUAGUGCAAUGGCAUAAGCUGGCUUGACUGCGAGCGUGACGGCGCGAGCAGGUGCGAAAGCAGGUCAUAGUGAUCCGGUGGUUCUGAAUGGAAGGGCCAUCGCUCAACGGAUAAAAGGUACUCCGGGGAUAACAGGCUGAUACCGCCCAAGAGUUCAUAUCGACGGCGGUGUUUGGCACCUCGAUGUCGGCUCAUCACAUCCUGGGGCUGAAGUAGGUCCCAAGGGUAUGGCUGUUCGCCAUUUAAAGUGGUACGCGAGCUGGGUUUAGAACGUCGUGAGACAGUUCGGUCCCUAUCUGCCGUGGGCGCUGGAGAAUUGAGGGGGGCUGCUCCUAGUACGAGAGGACCGGAGUGGACGCAUCACUGGUGUUCGGGUUGUCAUGCCAAUGGCAUUGCCCGGUAGCUAAAUGCGGAAGAGAUAAGUGCUGAAAGCAUCUAAGCACGAAACUUGCCCCGAGAUGAGUUCUCCCUGACUCCUUGAGAGUCCUGAAGGAACGUUGAAGACGACGACGUUGAUAGGCCGGGUGUGUAAGCGCAGCGAUGCGUUGAGCUAACCGGUACUAAUGAACCGUGAGGCUUAACCUU
This 2117-nucleotide ribosomal RNA is filed under the name human gut metagenome. RNAcentral's name for it is "bacterial LSU rRNA". It matches the Rfam family "Bacterial large subunit ribosomal RNA", at positions 835 to 2925 of the family's 2925-position model. The record is from RNAcentral.